GUUGUAUGGUUAAGUGACUAAGCGUACAUGGUGGAUGCCUUGGCAGUCAGAGGCGAUGAAGGACGUACUAACCUGCGAUAAGCCGUGAGCAGUCGGUAAGAGACAUUACGACUCACGGAUUUCCGAAUGGGGAAACCCACUUAGCAUAAGCUAGGUAUCGCUACGUGAAUACAUAGCGUAGCGAGGCGAACCGGGAGAACUGAAACAUCUAAGUACCCCGAGGAAAAGAAAUCAACCGAGAUUCCCUCAGUAGCGGCGAGCGAACGGGGAUUAGCCCUUAAGCAUCUUGGAAGUUAGUGGAACGGUCCUGGAAAGGCCGGCGAUACAGGGUGAUAGCCCCGUACACGAAAACAACCUUGAUGUGAAAUCGAGUAGGGCGGGACACGUGACAUCCUGUCUGAAUAUGGGGGGACCAUCCUCCAAGGCUAAAUACUCCUGACUGACCGAUAGUGAACCAGUACCGUGAGGGAAAGGCGAAAAGAACCCCUGUGAGGGGAGUGAAAUAGAACCUGAAACCGUGUACGUACAAGCAGUGGGAGCCCUUCGGGGUGACUGCGUACCUUUUGUAUAAUGGGUCAGCGACUUACAUUUUGUAGCGAGGUUAACCGUAUAGGGGAGCCGUAGGGAAACCGAGUCUUAACUGGGCGUCUAGUUGCAAGGUGUAGACCCGAAACCGGGUGAUCUAGCCAUGGGCAGGUUGAAGGUUGAGUAACAUCAACUGGAGGACCGAACCCACUAACGUUGCAAAGUUAGGGGAUGACCUGUGGCUGGGGGUGAAAGGCCAAUCAAACUCGGAGAUAGCUGGUUCUCCCCGAAAGCUAUUUAGGUAGCGCCUCGGACGAAUACUACUGGGGGUAGAGCACUGUUUGGGCUAGGGGGUCAUCCCGACUUACCAACCCCAUGCAAACUCCGAAUACCAGUAAGUAAUAUCCGGGAGACACACGGCGGGUGCUAACGUCCGUCGUGAAGAGGGAAACAACCCAGACCGCCGGCUAAGGUCCCAAAGUUCUGGUUAAGUGGGAAACGAUGUGGGAAGGCUCAGACAGCUAGGAUGUUGGCUUAGAAGCAGCCAUCAUUUAAAGAAAGCGUAAUAGCUCACUAGUCGAGUCGGCCUGCGCGGAAGAUGUAACGGGGCUCAAACCAGGCACCGAAGCCGCGGAUUCACGCUAAGCGUGAGUGGUAGGGGAGCGUUCUGUAAGUCUGCGAAGGUGUAUCGAGAGGUAUGCUGGAGAUAUCAGAAGUGCGAAUGCUGACGUAAGUAACGAUAAAGGGGGUGAAAAGCCUCCUCGCCGGAAGACCAAGGGUUCCUGUCCAACGUUAAUCGGGGCAGGGUGAGUCGACCCCUAAGGCGAGGCCGAAAGGCGUAGUCGAUGGGAAGCAGGUUAAUAUUCCUGCACGACUUGUAAUUGCGAUGGGGGGACGGAGAAGGCUAGGUGGGCCAGGCGACGGUUGUCCUGGUGAAAGUGCGUAGGUGGUGUUUCUAGGCAAAUCCGGAGGCACAACACUGAGACACGAGACGAACACACUACGGUGUGGAAGCCAUUGAUGCCCUGCUUCCAGGAAAAGCCUCUAAGCUUCAGAUUACAAGUCAUCGUACCCCAAACCGACACAGGUGGUCGGGUAGAGAAUACCAAGGCGCUUGAGAGAACUCGGGUGAAGGAACUAGGCAAAAUAGAACCGUAACUUCGGGAGAAGGUUCGCUCUUGACAGUGAAGUCCCUUGCGGAUGGAGCAGUUGGGAGUCGCAGUGACCAGAUGGCUGGGACUGUUUAUCAAAAACACAGCACUCUGCAAACACGAAAGUGGACGUAUAGGGUGUGACACCUGCCCGGUGCCGGAAGGUUAAUUGAUGGGGUUAGCGCAAGCGAAGCUCUUGAUCGAAGCCCCGGUAAACGGCGGCCGUAACUAUAACGGUCCUAAGGUAGCGAAAUUCCUUGUCGGGUAAGUUCCGACCUGCACGAAUGGUGUAACCAUGGCCAUGCUGUCUCCACCCGAGACUCAGUGAAAUCGAAUUCGCCGUGAAGAUGCGGUGUACCCGCGGCUAGACGGAAAGACCCCGUGAACCUUUACUACAGCUUGGCACUGAACAUUGAACCUACAUGUGUAGGAUAGGUGGGAGGCUUUGAAGGCGUGACGCCAGUUGCGCUGGAGCCGUCCUUGAAAUACCACCCUUGUAUGUUUGAUGUUCUAACGCAGGCCCAUGAAUCUGGGUCGCGGACAGUGCCUGGUGGGUAGUUUGACUGGGGCGGUCUCCUCCCAAAGAGUAACGGAGGAGCACGAAGGUUGGCUAAUCCUGGUCGGACAUCAGGAGGUUAGUGCAAUGGCAUAAGCCAGCUUAACUGCGAGACGGACAGGUCGAGCAGGUACGAAAGUAGGUCAUAGUGAUCCGGUGGUUCUGAAUGGAAGGGCCAUCGCUCAACGGAUAAAAGGUACUCCGGGGAUAACAGGCUGAUACCGCCCAAGAGUUCAUAUCGACGGCGGUGUUUGGCACCUCGAUGUCGGCUCAUCACAUCCUGGGGCUGAAGUCGGUCCCAAGGGUAUGGCUGUUCGCCAUUUAAAGUGGUACGCGAGCUGGGUUCAGAACGUCGUGAGACAGUUCGGUCCCUAUCUGCCGUGGGCGUUGGAUGAUUGAAGGGAGUUGCUCCUAGUACGAGAGGACCGGAGUGAACGAACCUCUGGUGUUCGGGUUGUCACGCCAGUGGCACUGCCCGGUAGCUAAGUUCGGAAUCGAUAACCGCUGAAAGCAUCUAAGCGGGAAGCGAGCCCUGAGAUGAGUCAUCCCUGACCCCUUGAGGGUCCUAAAGGGCCGUUGGAGACCACAACGUUGAUAGGUGGGGUGUGUAAGCGCGGCGACGUGUUGAGCUAACCCAUACUAAUUACCCGUGAGGCUUAACCAUACAACACCCAAGAAGUGUUCU
Molecule: ribosomal RNA, 2917 nt
Filed under: Aeromonas hydrophila
Lineage: Bacteria; Pseudomonadati; Pseudomonadota; Gammaproteobacteria; Aeromonadales; Aeromonadaceae
Description: 23S ribosomal RNA
Rfam family: Bacterial large subunit ribosomal RNA
Source: RNAcentral